GACGAACGCUGGCGGCGUGCUUAACACAUGCAAGUCGAACGGAAAGGCCCUGCUUUUGUGGGUUUCUCGAGUGGCGCACGCGUGAGUAACACGUGAGUAACCUGCCCUUGACUUUGGGAUAACUUCAGGAAACUCGGGCUAAUACCGGAUAUGAGCUCCUGCUGCAUGUUGUUGGUUGGUAAGUUUCGGCGGUUGUGGAUGUACUCGCUGCUUAUCAGCUUGUUGGUGGGGUAGGUGCUUACCAGGCCUAUGACGGGUAGCCGGCAUGGGAGGGGGACCGGCGACAUUGGGACUGAGAUACGGAGCAGACUGGUACGGGAGGCAGCAGUGGGGAAUAUUGCGGAAUGGGGGGACGCCUGAUGAAGAAACGCCGGGUGCGGGAUGACGGCUUUUGGGUUGUAAACAGAUUUCGCCUGAGACGAAGAGUGCUUGACGGUAAUGGGUAAAGAAGCACCGGCUAACUACGUG
This 468-nucleotide ribosomal RNA is filed under the name uncultured bacterium. RNAcentral describes it as "partial 16S ribosomal RNA". It matches the Rfam family "Bacterial small subunit ribosomal RNA", at positions 28 to 507 of the family's 1533-position model. The record is from RNAcentral.